This 487-nucleotide ribosomal RNA is filed under the name uncultured Sphingobacteriales bacterium. Its description in RNAcentral is "bacterial SSU rRNA". It matches the Rfam family "Bacterial small subunit ribosomal RNA", at positions 888 to 1382 of the family's 1533-position model. Lineage: Bacteria; Pseudomonadati; Bacteroidota; Sphingobacteriia; Sphingobacteriales. The record is from RNAcentral.
CCCGCUCAGAAACUCAAAGGAAUUGAGGGGCCCGCACAAGCGGUGGAGCAUGUGGUUAAUUCGAUGAUACGCGAGGAACCUUACCUGGGCUCAAAUGUAUGUUGACGUAUUCUGAAAGGGAUACUUCUUCGGACAAUAUACAAGGUGCUGCAUGGUUGUCGUCAGCUCGUGCCGUGAGGUGUCGGGUUAAGUCCCAUAACGAGCGCAACCCUAUCAUUAGUUGCCAUCAGGUCAAGCUGGGGACUCUAAUGAAACUGCCUACGCAAGUAGUGAGGAAGGUGGGGAUGACGUCAAAUCAGCACGGCCCUUACGUCCAGGGCUACACACGUGCUACAAUGGCCGGUACAAAGGGCAGCUACCUGGUGACAGGAUGCUAAUCUCAAAAGCCGGUCUCAGUUCGGAUCGGAGUCUGCAACCCGACUCCAUGAAGUUGGAAUCGCUAGUAAUCGUGGAUCAGCAUGCCACGGUGAAUACGUUCCCGGGCCUU